UACAGAGGUCUCAACCGUUGUUCGGAUUCAUUGGGCGUAAAGGGUGCGUAGGCGGUCGCGCAAGUCGGAUGUGAAAGCUCGGAGCUCAACUCCGAAAUGGCAUUGGAAACUACCCUGCUAGAGGAUUGGAGGGGGGACUGGAAUACUUGGUGUAGCAGUGAAAUGCGUAGAUAUCAAGUGGAACACCAGUGGCGAAGGCGAGUCCCUGGACAAUACCUGACACUGAGGCACGAAAGCUAGGGGAGCAAACAGG
RNAcentral lists this ribosomal RNA (253 nucleotides) under uncultured bacterium. RNAcentral describes it as "partial 16S ribosomal RNA". It matches the Rfam family "Bacterial small subunit ribosomal RNA", at positions 524 to 776 of the family's 1533-position model. The record is from RNAcentral.